RNAcentral lists this ribosomal RNA (950 nucleotides) under Conoplea fusca. RNAcentral describes it as "eukaryotic LSU rRNA". It matches the Rfam family "Eukaryotic large subunit ribosomal RNA", at positions 1 to 964 of the family's 3401-position model. The record is from RNAcentral. Lineage: Eukaryota; Fungi; Ascomycota; Pezizomycetes; Pezizales; Sarcoscyphaceae.
GUUGACCUCGAAUCAGGUAGGGAUACCCGCUGAACUUAAGCAUAUCAAUAAGCGGAGGAAAAGAAACCAACAGGGAUUGCCUCAGUAACUGCGAGUGAAGCGGCAAAAGCUCAAAUUUGAAAUCUAGUACCUUUGGGUGCUCGAGUUGUAAUUUGGAGAGGCAACUUCGGAGGAGGCGCUGGCCUAAGUUCCUUGGAACAGGACGUCACAGAGGGUGAGAAUCCCGUGCUUGGCUGGCUGUCCUCCUUCAUGUGAAGUGUCUUCGACGAGUCGAGUUGUUUGGGAAUGCAGCUCAAAAUGGGUGGUAAACUCCAUCUAAGGCUAAAUACUGGCGAGAGACCGAUAGCGCACAAGUAGAGUGAUCGAAAGAUGAAAAGCACUUUGAAAAGAGAGUUAAACAGUACGUGAAAUUGUUGAAAGGGAAGCGCUUGAGACCAGACUCGGUGAUUGGUGAUCAGCGGUAGCUUCUGCUCCGUGCACUUGCCUUUUACUGGGCCAGCAUCAGUUGCGACGGCAGGAUAAAGACUCAGGGAAUGUGGCUCUCUUCGGGGAGUGUUAUAGCCCUGGGUGUAAUGCUGCCUGCCGCGACUGAGGACCGCGCUUCGGCUAGGAUGCUGGCAUAAUGGUCUUCAGCGACCCGUCUUGAAACACGGACCAAGGAGUCUAACAUCUAUGCGAGUGUUCGGGUGUAAAACCCCUGCGCGUAAUGAAAGUGAACGGAGGUGGGAACUCUUUGGAGUGCACCAUCGACCGAUCCUGAUGUCUUCGGAUGGAUUUGAGUAGGAGCAUAGCUGUUGGGACCCGAAAGAUGGUGAACUAUGCCUGAAUAGGGUGAAGCCAGAGGAAACUCUGGUGGAGGCUCGCAGCGGUUCUGACGUGCAAAUCGAUCGUCAAAUUUGGGUAUAGGGGCGAAAGACUAAUCGAACCAUCUAGUAGCUGGUUCCUGCCGA